UUAAAUUAAUGUAUCUCCUACCUCAUGAUACUUCUAAGAAUUCUGUAUGCAAAUAAAAAUGUUCAUAGGUAUUAAAUUUAUAGAAAGUCAAACUUGAAAAGAAACUGGGGUUGAUGUGCAUAAUUUAUGUUUAAUUUGAAAUUGUAACAAAUUAUAAACUUUUAUUUGAUUGUACAUUGUGCUGAAUGUUGAUUGAAGUUCAUCUGUAUAGAUGAAACUUAUGUUUUGAAUAUUCAUUGAUUAAUAAACUUAAUAAGAGUAUAAUGC
This 267-nucleotide long non-coding RNA is filed under the name Mytilus galloprovincialis (Mediterranean mussel). The record is from RNAcentral. Lineage: Eukaryota; Metazoa; Mollusca; Bivalvia; Mytilida; Mytilidae.